Formica exsecta is the source of this 3023-nucleotide long non-coding RNA. RefSeq lists it as uncharacterized. The record is from RefSeq and is a predicted model, not a curated record. NCBI's taxonomy places the organism in Eukaryota, Metazoa, Arthropoda, Insecta, Hymenoptera, Formicidae. The transcript has 5 exons.
GUUCAAUAUGACUGCAAUAAAAGAUCAAGAGUUUUCGUAAAAAUCGAUAAAAAAUUGAUAAAGAAAUAGCGUUAAUCUUCAUAAACAUACCCGCUAGUAUAAGCAGCCAAUAGCCAGUUCAUUAGCAACGCCGUAGUUGCGUCGACUUUAGAUUGCUGUGAUACCGGGACCCUCUUGUUCAACGCGUGAAACAGGGAAGACAGUAGUGUUUCGAGUCUGGAUACCCCUAACGUGCUCGACGGCUCUAACGUGUUUAGACCGUUCUCUCGAAAUGCCUCGAUUACGUUCCAUAUGUCGACGUUGUGCACUGUAUACAAUUAUGCAUCAAUCAUUACAAAGCUUGCAGGCAGUACGAUAUGACGCAAAUCGAAUGGUAUCAAAGUUCUGCUGUCGCAUCUCUUGUAGAAGCUGCAAACGACUCAUCUCGCCGCUACUUCCGUUUCCCGAUCCACCUGCGCCUUCUUCUGCCAUUUUCACUGCGAAAAAUGAACGAAUAAUGUAUUUAUGUAUUAAUUAAUGUAUUUCUACGUUAAAUCUUCUUCCUGAAUAUUUCUUUAUUCAUAGCGAAUGUUGUUUCACAACGAAUAAUAUAAUCUUGCACAUACUUGAGAUUUAUUAAUGAUUAUGUUUCUUUUUAAAGGAGUAGUAAAUAUGUCGCAUAAAGAUAAGCAACGUACCGUGAAGGCCGAAUAAUAAAUAGUAGAUGACAAUCAAUUAUCUUGCGCGUUUUUUUUUUCAACGAAUGUUAUGUAACAAUUUUGCGUUAACAUUUUAAAUCAGAUAAACAAAAUAGGACGUUAUUACGUGCCACGUACUAGAAUAACAAUAACUUUCAUUUGCUGAAAUUAAUCGCAUUUUUUAGCAGCAUUCAUGCAAAUAUAAACACGACACGGUAGAAAAUCGUAAUAUCACUUAAAUUUGCUGCAUUUUCUUGUUUUAACUCCAACCAUUUCAAACGACGUAUUUCGUCUUAAUUUGAUGGAGCUCUCUGUAUAAUAUAUAUAGACGUGCAACUAACGAAGCUGUGUUCUUAAUUCGUAAAGGACGUUACGCGAUGCAUGGUGAUUGCGAGAAUGAAACUCUUUGUCAUCAACUGAAGGAUGAACUAGAGAGAGAACUAAUUAGUAAUGAUUAGAAUGUACAUGCAAUAUAUUCAUCUUAUGAAAGCAACCACGAUCUAAUAUGAUGUUAUUAACAACUGGAGAUUUUCUGGACUUUGUUCGUACGUAUGUGAAUCUACAUAAGCAGAAGUGACUAAAAUAUUAUAAAAAUAUUUUUAAAAUACGAGAGAUGUAUAUACAUAUAAAGUGCUUUUUAUCUCAGCUAUUUGUUAACUAUUUAUAUAUAUUUACUAAUUACUAUUUAAUUACUAUGUAAUUACUAUUUAAAUUUCUCUCCAGUUAUAAAUUGAUAAUAAACAGUUUUCAUUAUUAAAUAAUAAGAUGAUCAAAUAUGUUAAUAAAGCAAUGAAAUUUUUUUUAUAUACCGUUUUCAUGCAAUGUUUAAGAAGCAGAUAACUGAUAUCUUUUUUUCUUUAAAAAAAUAUUUGAGAACUAUAAUAUUAAAAAGAGAAUAUACUGCUAAUGAAUUACUAGACAUACGUGAUUAUUUAUUUUAUUUGUGAUUUUAACAUUCAUAGUAUUUUUUGUCAUGUGAGUUGCUGAAUAUUAUUCUCUCUUCUAUUACAAUUUCUUCCUCAUAGAUUUUUCACGUGAAAAUUAUACUUUGGGAAAAAAGUUAAUUCAAGAUCGUCCAACUGUAACAAUGUAAUCCGUUCGUACACGAUUGACCUAGUUAGUAAACGUCGAUACCCGAAGGUGUAAUUGAUUUAAAACCGACUGUUCAUCACUCAGGGGGUACAAGCUUUAUUUUUUUUUUCAGUCACCAAUUUCUUACUCUCUCUUUGUAAUCGACACUCUAAAUUAAGCAGUAUAUUUAUUAAUCUCGGAAACUAUUCAGAAUAGUUCAAUUAUUUUGCGAUACGGUAAUAUUAAUUGAAGUUAAUUUUUGGGCAAAAUAAUAUUUUAUUAUGCAUGAAAUAAUAUUAAUAAAAAAAUAUUAAAAAAAAAAGUUUAAUAUCUAAAAUCUCUAAACGUUUUAAAUCUUUUUCAGAAAAGUAAUAGUGUGUUUAUUUAUCGUUUAAACAUUUUUAUCUAUAUUCAGUGAAUUAGGAUGAAAUAAACUGGAGUACCAAUAAUAUACUUCAUUUUCUCGAAAUAUAAUAUCGAGUAUCGCAUCGUUUAACCGUUCUUAAUAAUUGAUCGAGAUUGUAGCGGAAUAGACCGGAAUAGACUGAUCAGGAAGCAAUGAGGUAAUAUCGGCGAUAGGUUCAACGGAAUGAGGGAACUAAACGAGGAUGCCUAAGUUUGAAUCAAUACGAUAAGUGGGCCAGGUGGGGGAACGUAAGAUCGGUCAAAGAAACGGUGGGAACAGUCGGGAAAGGAACGCCAGGUGCGUUUGAAGGAACGCGGGAAAUGGAGCGACUAAAAGGCGCGGCCAAUUUCAUCUCGUUGAGAAAUCUUGAUGCGGUUGAUCUGGGAAUCGCGAAGUUCAACGCCCGCAACAAACGAGAUCGAUAUAAUUUCAACAACGUCGACGGGGACCUAUUGGACCAGGUGGACCUUCUGAACCGAUUCCCUCGAGACCUCUGUCCCCUUUUUCUCCGCGUUCUCCUGGUGGCCCCUGUGGUCCGAUGAGACCUUGCGGACCCGGUAAACCGACGAAUCCACGUUCUCCCGGCAAACCUGGCAAAUGAAAAGCGCAAAGAAUUGGUAAUCCUGACUCGAUGAUGUACCUGGACGACCUUGGGGACCAGGCGAUCCAAGACGGCCCGGACGACUUCGACCGGGCGGACCGGGUGGGCCUUGCAUGAGUGCUGCCAUUUCGGUCAUCUGUUCUUUACAAACCAUCUCGACCACGUUCUCCGGUAUCACCCUUCGGACCUCUUUGGCCUGGCGGUCCAGGAGGCCCUGAUAAUCCUGGCAAUCCUGGAGGACCUAGUGGCCCCGGCAGACCUGUUACGC